CAGCCGCCGCGGUAAUACAGAGGGUGCGAGCGUUAAUCGGAUUUACUGGGCGUAAAGCGUGCGUAGGCGGAUUUUUAAGUCGGAUGUGAAAUCCCUGAGCUUAACUUAGGAAUUGCAUUCGAUACUGGGAAGCUAGAGUAUGGGAGAGGAUGGUAGAAUUCCAGGUGUAGCGGUGAAAUGCGUAGAGAUCUGGAGGAAUACCGAUGGCGAAGGCAGCCAUCUGGCCUAAUACUGACGCUGAGGUACGAAAGCAUGGGGAGCAAACAGGAUUAGAUACCCCCGUAGUCCCUGUCUCUUAUAC
This 301-nucleotide ribosomal RNA is filed under the name uncultured bacterium. RNAcentral describes it as "partial 16S ribosomal RNA". It matches the Rfam family "Bacterial small subunit ribosomal RNA", at positions 509 to 807 of the family's 1533-position model. The record is from RNAcentral.